GACGAACGCUGGCGGCGUGCCUAAUACAUGCAAGUAGAACGCUGAAGGAGGAGCUUGCUUCUCCGGAUGAGUUGCGAACGGGUGAGUAACGCGUAGGUAACCUGCCUGGUAGCGGGGGAUAACUAUUGGAAACGAUAGCUAAUACCGCAUAACAGUAGAUAUUGCAUGAUAUCUGCUUGAAAGGUGCAAUUGCAUCACUACCAGAUGGACCUGCGUUGUAUUAGCUAGUUGGUGAGGUAACGGCUCACCAAGGCGACGAUACAUAGCCGACCUGAGAGGGUGAUCGGCCACACUGGGACUGAGACACGGCCCAGACUCCUACGGGAGGCAGCAGUAGGGAAUCUUCGGCAAUGGACGGAAGUCUGACCGAGCAACGCCGCGUGAGUGAAGAAGGUUGUCGGAUCGUAAAGCUCUGUUGUAAGAGAAGAACGAGUGUGAGAGUGGAAAGUUCACACUGUGACGGUAUCUUACCAGAAAGGGACGGCUAACUACGUG
Molecule: ribosomal RNA, 495 nt
Filed under: uncultured bacterium
Lineage: Bacteria
Description: partial 16S ribosomal RNA
Rfam family: Bacterial small subunit ribosomal RNA
Source: RNAcentral